RNAcentral lists this long non-coding RNA (3046 nucleotides) under Triticum aestivum (bread wheat). RNAcentral's name for it is "long non-coding RNA (TAES_LNC013608)". Lineage: Eukaryota; Viridiplantae; Streptophyta; Magnoliopsida; Poales; Poaceae. The record is from RNAcentral.
CGUGAGAUCAGGUGGACCUGCUUCUGGUAAUCUCAGUUUUGUUAGUAGCAAGUGGUCAAUUUAGUAUUCAUUGGCAACAAAAAGAAGUGAAUGAUAUCAUGCCAUAAUUUAGUGUUGCUUCCCGGUCCUGGAUAGAUGAUGUAUUGUAUUUCUGCAUAAGCUAGGAAAUCUACAAAUUGAUUAUCUGUAAACUAUUUGUCCAUACUUCUCCAAGAUCUGAACAUAUACCAUCUUUGCUGAUCGAUUUUAUUACUAAGUAGCAGAUUCCUCCUGGUGCUUGGGACGUUUUCGGCUAGAUUGAUUUACUAGCUACGUCCAAGCAGGCCACUGGAUUGAUUUCAUGAGGCUUACUAGCUACGUCCCAAUCAAGAUAGCUAGACUUACUAGCUACGUCCCAAGCAGGCCACUGGAUUGAUUUCAUGAGGCUUACUAGCUACGUCCCAAUCAAGAUAGCUAGACUUACUAGCUACGUCCCAAGCAGGCCAAUCCAAUAUGUUGAUCAAUUUGAUUGUUCUGGCUGGAGGUCAGGAGGUCAGAAGGUGCGUCCUUCACACUAAAUCGUACCCGAAGUUCUACAAUUAGGUAUGAUUACAACUAGGAAGCUACCCUUCCUGGAUAACUAUUUUAGUACCUGUUUUUAUUUACUAAUGAGAACUAAAUAAAUUGGCUACUGUCAUGUUUAUCCCUUAAAAAAAGAUUCUGGUAGAUGUGCUUGACAAUAAUAAUGGUAAUACCUAAAGGAGUUCUCUUGCUCCAAGUUAGCGCCUAUAUAUUCUUAGCUACCAUGUACUUGGGUUACUGGUUUGUGUUAAGGAUUCCGCUACUGUUGCCAAGGUAUCUACAGAAUUUUGUUAUAGUACUAGCUGAACAGAAAAAGAAAUCGGCUAUUAAUUUACUAGACUCUAUUUCAGUCUAAUUAGUGGAGACUUAGAGAGUGGAAGGAAUGUUUUAAAAACCUAAUAUAAAAAUAUGAAAUAUUUAGUUAUUCUCUAUAUCCGAGAAAGCAAUAAAGAACUUUGUGUUAGGCAGUGCACUGCGGGAGCGUGUACUGCGACUAUUUCUGCACUGCCGAGGAAGGCUUGAUCUUUCCCACAGGUCCACCUUCUUUACCUUUCCGUUCUUUGAACUGGAUAAGUUCUGAUAUUCUAACAUUGAUGGAAAAUCAUUAUCUUCUGUAAAGCCACAUUUCAUUUUAUGAUUUUUAGCAGAAGCUCGCUUCGAGGUCUUGGUGUGGGGCUGCUGGGGAAGGGAAUGUCCUUCUACUUAGUGAAAGUCGUUGUUGCUGAGGCUGAUUUUACCUUCUUUCUAAGUGUUCUAUUUUAUUAGUGCAAUUGGUUCGAGUUAAACUAACAUCCAUCGUACAAAUAUUUGUGGGACAUAUUCAGGUAAAUUUACCAUGUUCUGUUUUCAUUACCCAGCGCUAAAAUGUAGAUGUUAUGAUGACCAAUGACCAUAAACUAUACAGGAUUGGGCAAAGAAUCACUCUGGUGACCUAGAGAUAGAUGAAGCUUUAAAGAAGGGAGAAGAUGCUGGGCUUGCCUUGGUUAGCAGCAAUUAUCAUUUCAUUUUUGUGUUUAUCAGCAUAAGCUAAUAUCUGGAAGUAGGGCUUCUUUACUCUGUACUCCUGCAAUUUUUAAUGUUCCUGGUGUCACUUUCCCCAGUACUCUUCUAUAGCUGUGUUUUGUGCUAAAAAGUGAAAAAUUCAAACGUUUUGCAGUCACUACCAGCAAGUAAUAGCACUGACUAUUAUUUUAAAUAAAAUAUGGAAUCGAGCUUUCAGCUGCAUCUUUUAGCAUCCUAGCGCACUCAUCAACUUCAGAGUUACCACUGGGGUCACUUUUCUCAAGAAAUCUGGAAAGAAGCGAGGAUUCUCAAGUAAGAUAAGUCUGCUUACAAAAAUUUGCCUACUGGAAAGUAGAUAAGAGACUCAUGAAGUAAGAAUACAUGCCUACAUAUUAUACAUAGCAGGCUUCUGACUUCUCUGAUUCUGCAAGCCUUGAGGCUGUGAAACAUCUAUGCUAGGUCGCCACACUUCUGCCACCUUCAUUUGAUGAGGUACAUUCAGAUUCGGUUUGUUUAUAUUACUUUAUGGAUGCUUCUCUUCUCAUUACAGUGCUGGGCAAUUUGAUGAGAAAUUAUCUUCUCUUUGAUGGUCCAGGUUCAGCGUUCACUACUAUGAAAGAAGGAGGCAUAUAUUUUCCUUGUGGAAUUUCCAGUAGAAUGGCAGUGAGAACGAGUAAAAAUCUACAACAGGUAAUACAUUAUUUUGAAGCUACAUGGAAAGCAAAGUAAGCACAUGGAUCCCUCAUUUGAGAGUGGGGGUUAAACUUCCCUGGACUUCUCCCUUAAUUCUUACUGUAGUCUUUUUAUUCACAUUUCCUAUUGUGUAGUUGGUGACAAUGAUGAAUUGCUAUCCACUUGAGAAAAUAAAGAUUAAAUCGAUGAUGCUCUCAAAAGUAAAAUGACUUUCUGAGCUGGAUAGAGGCAACCUUUUUCCUUGUUUGUUAUAAUGAUAUUUUCAUUUUCCUGUGUAUAUUAAACUUGAGAAUAUUAUUCUGCAUUACUUCAACCGUUACUUUUUAUGUGUUUGCAGUAUGACUGUAUGGUUCUCACUCAAAGUAGAGGCCCAACAAAAUUUUUUGAAGUAGGAGUCGAAAACUACAAAUCCAUCUAUUCCUAGAAUGGAGCUGGUUGGAGUUGAGCCUAAAAUUGAGCGGGUAGUUCGGUGGCACCGACAUCCAGCUGAAAGUUUUAUAGGAGGGUUAGUAAAGCAAAUUUGUUCAUGAGCAAAUGUGCCAGCAAAACAUUGAGUCAGAGUGCAAGACAAAUGCUCUUAACAGUUUUUUUGGUCGCUUUUCUUUAAUUACAAUUCUUAUUAUUUUUAGUUGGCAUUGAUGUACAAAAGAAAAUCCUGUGCCUUUUUUGUCCUCUCAUUGACCAUUGUAUUUUUGAGUCAUAUCAAUCUAUGUAAAAGAAUUCAGUACCUUAUGUUUUGUAUAUUUGGAAAUGUCUAAAGGCGUGGUGUUAUAUAAUAACUGUAUGAUAU